AUUAACGCGAAGAACCUUACCAGGGUUUGACAUGCAUCUGCACCGUCCAGAAAUGGACGUACCCGCACGUGACGGCUGCACAGGUGCUGCAUGGCUGUCGUCAGCUCGUGCCGUGAGAUGUUGGGUUAAGUCCCGCAACGAGCGCAACCCUUGUCUCAUGUUGCCAGCACGUUAUGGUGGGGACUCGUGAGAGACUGCCGGGGUCAACUCGGAGGAAGGUGGGGAUGACGUCAAGUCAUCAUGCCCCUUAUGUCCAGGGCUUCACACAUGCUACAAUGGCCGGUACAAAGGGCUGCGAUGCCGUAAGGAU
Molecule: ribosomal RNA, 310 nt
Filed under: uncultured Actinomycetes bacterium
Lineage: Bacteria; Bacillati; Actinomycetota; Actinomycetes
Description: bacterial SSU rRNA
Rfam family: Bacterial small subunit ribosomal RNA
Source: RNAcentral